Molecule: ribosomal RNA, 238 nt
Filed under: uncultured bacterium
Lineage: Bacteria
Also listed under: 1 other name
Description: partial 16S ribosomal RNA
Rfam family: Bacterial small subunit ribosomal RNA
Source: RNAcentral
CGGGGUGAGUAACACGUGGAUAACCUACCUAUAAGACUGGGAUAACUUCGGGAAACCGGAGCUAAUACCGGAUAAUAUUUUGAACCGCAUGGUUCAAAAGUGAAAGACGGUCUUGCUGUCACUUAUAGAUGGAUCCGCGCUGCAUUAGCUAGUUGGUAAGGUAACGGCUUACCAAGGCAACGAUGCAUAGCCGACCUGAGAGGGUGAUCGGCCACACUGGAACUGAGACACGGUCCAG